RNAcentral lists this transfer RNA (76 nucleotides) under Coxiella sp. DG_40. Its description in RNAcentral is "tRNA-Glu". It matches the Rfam family "tRNA". From Rfam's summary of the family: Transfer RNA (tRNA) molecules are approximately 80 nucleotides in length. Their secondary structure includes four short double-helical elements and three loops (D, anti-codon, and T loops). Further hydrogen bonds mediate the characteristic L-shaped molecular structure. tRNAs have two regions of fundamental functional importance: the anti-codon, which is responsible for specific mRNA codon recognition, and the 3' end, to which the tRNAs corresponding amino acid is attached (by aminoacyl-tRNA synthetases). tRNAs cope with the degeneracy of the genetic code in two manners: having more than one tRNA (with a specific anti-codon) for a particular amino acid; and 'wobble' base-pairing, i.e. permitting non-standard base-pairing at the 3rd anti-codon position. Lineage: Bacteria; Pseudomonadati; Pseudomonadota; Gammaproteobacteria; Legionellales; Coxiellaceae. The record is from RNAcentral. RNAcentral also lists the same sequence under 1 other name.
GUCCCCAUCGUCUAGCGGCCUAGGACAUUGCCCUUUCACGGCAAAAACACGGGUUCGAGUCCCGUUGGGGACGCCA